CCCGCACAUGUUUGAAUAUGAAAAUUACACCAUUUCCCAAGAAAAAAAUACAUAUUGAUUAAAAUAAUAUUCCGUUUUUUAUUCUGUCUGAAACAAAGGGUUCAGUUUAGGUCCAAUAUUAUUAUGUAGGCCUAUGUACAUAAGUAGCCUUGAGCUAUUGUUUGCUAACAAUAUACUUGUUCAGUGUCAUCUUUUUUUUUUAAAACAUCUUGACAUCUGAUAUUUGAGUUUUACACCAUGCAGUCAUCACCUGCACAAGUUUGACCAAAAAGAACAGUUGUGGUAGCCAAUAGGUACAGGACAGAUACAUAUGGUGAUGGGCAUCUAUCGAUUGCAUGUGAUGAGAAAACAAACUGCUAUAUAUAGUUGAAGUCGGAAGUUUACAUACACCUUAGCCAGAUACAUUUAAACUCCGUUUUUCCUGACAUUUAAGCCUAGUAAAAAAAUCAACACUUUAUGAUCAACACUUUAUUUUAAGAAUGUGAAAUGUGAGAAUAAUAGUAGAGAGAAUUAUUUAUUUCAGAUAUGAUUUCUUUCAUUACAUUCCCAGUGGGUCAGAAGUUUACAAACACUAAUUUAGUAUUUGGUAGCAUAGCCUUCAAAUUGUUUAACUUGGGUCAAACGUUUCAGGUAGCCUUCCACAAGCUUCCCACAUUAAGUUGGGUGAAUUUUGGCCCAUUCCUCCUGACAGAGCUGGUGUAACUGAGUCAGGUUGUAGGCCUCCUUGCUCGCACACGCUUUUUCAGUUCUGCCCACACAUUUUCUAUGGGAUUGAGGUCAGGGCUUUGUGAUGGCAACUCUUAAUACCUUGACUUUGUUGUCCUUUAGCCAUUUUGCCACAACUUUGGAAAUAUGCUUGGGGUCAUUGUCCAUUGGGAAGACCCAUUUGCGACCAAGCUUUAACUUCCUGACUGAUGUCUUGAGAUGUUGCUUUGAUAUAUCCACAUAAUUUUCCAGUCUCAUGAUGCGAUCUAUUUUGUGAAGUGCACCAGUCCCUCCUGCAGCAAAGCACCCCCACAACAUGAUGCUGCCACCCCCGUACUUCACGGUUGGGAUGAUAUUCUUCGGCUUGCAAGCCUCCCCCUUUUCCCCUCCAAACAUAACGAUGGCCAUUAUGGCCAAACAGUUCUAUUUUUGAUUCAUCAGACCAGAGGACAUUUCUCCCAAAAAAUCUUUGUCCCCAUGUGCAGUUGCAAACCGGUGUCUGGCUUUUUUAAUGGCGGUUUUGGAGCAGUGGCUUCUUCCUUGCUGAGUGGCCUUUCAGGUUAUAUCAAUAUAGGACUCAUUUUACUGUGGAUAUAGAUACUUUUGUACCUGUUUCCUCCAGCAUGAGUGUGACACCAAAGUACAUUAACCUCUAUGAGACAGAACGCAUGUCCUUCCUGAGCGGUAUGACGGCUGCGUGGUCCCAUGGUGUUUAUACUUGUGUACUAUUGUUUGUACAGAUGAACGUGGUACAUUCAGGCGUUUGGAAAUUGCUCCCAAGGAUGAACCAGACUUGUGGAGGUCUACAAUUUUUUUUUCUGAAGUUUUGGCUGAUUUCUUUUGAUUUCCCCAGGAUGUCGAGCAAAGACGCACUGUGUUUGAAAGUAGGCCUUGAAAUACAUCCACAGGUACACCUCCAAUUGACUCAAAUGAUGUCAAUUAGCCUAUCAGAAGCUUCUAAAGCCAUGACAUAAUUUUAUAGAAUUUUCCAAGCUGUUUAAAAGCACAGUCAACUCAGUGCAUGUAAACUUUUGACCCACUGGAAUUGUGAUACAGUAAGUUAAAAGUGAAAUAAUCUGUCUGUAAACAAUUGUUGGAAAAAUUUGUGCAAGACUUGUGUCUUGCACAAAGUAGAUGUCCUAACCGACUUGCCAAAACAAUAGUUUGUUAACAAGAGAUUUGUGGAGUGGUUGAAAAACAAGUUAAUGACUCCAACCUAAGUGUAUGUAAACUUCCGACUUCAACUGUAUAGCUUCUCUUUAACCGUGGAAAACCGUCUGAUCAACAUGUUCCCGUCUCAGUCACGAAACACUUGCAGUGCAUUGUUGCCUCAGAAACACAAUCAUACAAAGAGUUAGGCCUUCUAACAGUGCCCAAAGACACUUGGAGAGAGAGAGAGAGAGAGAGACAGAGGCAGCGAGAGAGGCGAUCAGAUAAAUUAAAUUAAAAACAGGAAAUGACAUUUAGCUCAGUAUUUUGACAGAAGACAGCAGUCAUCAUUCAGUCAUCAUGAUAAUUAAUACCUUAAGGACAUGUAACGGUUUUCAUAUAGUGGUGAUGAAGGAGAGUCGGACCAAACUGCAGCGUGUCGAUUGCGAUCCAUGUUUAAUAUAACAAAGAAACACGAACUUACAAAAAACAAUAAACGAAACAGCCUAUCUGGUGCAAACUAACAAAGAGUACACAUAGGACACUAAGGACAAUCACCCACGACAAACUCAAAGAAUAUGGCUGCCUAAAUAUGGUUCCCAAUCAGAGACAACGAUAAGCACCUGCCUCUGAUUGAGAACCACUCCAGACAGCCAUAGACCUUGCUAGACAACCCACUAAGCUACAAUCCCAAUACCACCACCAAAACCCCAAGACAAACACACCACAAUUACAAAAACCCCAUGCCACACCCUGGCCUGACCAAAUACAUAAAGAUAAACACAAAAUACUUUGACCAGGGCGUGACAGAAC
Molecule: long non-coding RNA, 2667 nt
Organism: Oncorhynchus tshawytscha (Chinook salmon)
Lineage: Eukaryota; Metazoa; Chordata; Actinopteri; Salmoniformes; Salmonidae
Source: Ensembl